GCUUAACACAUGCAAGUCGCACGGGCAGUAGCAAUACGUGUCAGUGGCGGACGGGUGAGUAACGCGUAGGAAUCUAUCCUUGAAGUGGGGGACAACCGUGGGAAACUACGGCUAAUACCGCAUGAUGCCUGAGGGCCAAAGACGAAAGUCGUUUGAGGAGGAGCCUGCGUCUGAUUAGGUAGUUGGUGGGGUAAAGGCCUACCCAAGCCUACGAUCAGUAGCUGGUCUGAGAGGAUGAUCAGCCACAUUGGGACUGAGACACGGCCCAAACUCCUACGGGAGGCAGCAGUGGGGAAUAUUGGACAAUGGGCGCAAGCCUGAUCCAGCAAUGCCGCGUGGGUGAAGAAGGUCUUCGGAUUGUAAAGCCCUUUUGGCGGGGACGAUGAUGACGGUACCCGCAGAAUAAGCUCCGGCUAACUUCGUG
This 424-nucleotide ribosomal RNA is filed under the name uncultured bacterium. RNAcentral describes it as "bacterial SSU rRNA". It matches the Rfam family "Bacterial small subunit ribosomal RNA", at positions 46 to 507 of the family's 1533-position model. The record is from RNAcentral.